This 217-nucleotide ribosomal RNA is filed under the name Micropterus treculii (Guadalupe bass). RNAcentral describes it as "partial small subunit ribosomal RNA". The record is from RNAcentral. Lineage: Eukaryota; Metazoa; Chordata; Actinopteri; Centrarchiformes; Centrarchidae.
GUCGGUAAAACUCGUGCCAGCCACCGCGGUUAUACGAGAGGCCCAAGUUGACAAACCCCGGCGUAAAGAGUGGUUAAGAAGAGUUUAAAACUAAAGCCGAACACCCUCAAAGCUGUUAUACGCACCCGAAGGUAAGAAGCCCAAUCACGAAAGUGGCUUUACAUUUCCUGAGUCCACGAAAGCUAUGAAACAAACUGGGAUUAGAUACCCCACUAUG